This 337-nucleotide long non-coding RNA is filed under the name Lathyrus oleraceus (garden pea). Its description in RNAcentral is "Pisum sativum (pea) long non-coding RNA (PSAT_LNC014807)". Lineage: Eukaryota; Viridiplantae; Streptophyta; Magnoliopsida; Fabales; Fabaceae. The record is from RNAcentral.
UGUUGUGGAUUUUGAAACUGUGUUGAAUUCUAAGUUUGGGGUGGUGAAUCUAAUACAAAAGGGACAAGCGUGCGAAAAAUUGUUACAAGAAAAGAGAAAAAUAAAAACAAAUUGGAGGCUUUUUGAAUGCUCCGGAAAAAAAAAAGAGAAAAGAAAAAGAGAACUGAUAAAAAUGCACUUGUCCCAACUAAACGACUUGAUUACAUUUGAAAUACUCAAUCCGUGAGUAAAGUUAAAUAGUCGAUGUCGAACCCCUUUACAUCAAAGUAAGCACAGGUACAAGAAAAAUAGCAUGAAUGUCGAGCCCCAAAACCCUUGUGUAUCCGUUUUGUUGUUU